Molecule: long non-coding RNA, 587 nt
Organism: Armigeres subalbatus
Lineage: Eukaryota; Metazoa; Arthropoda; Insecta; Diptera; Culicidae
Exons: 3
Source: RefSeq, a predicted model, not a curated record
UUCGAAAAAGAAAAACGCUCGCAUAAAUGUCAAAAACAAAAAUGUUUAUUUUUUUGUUAGGUACCGGAACAGUUUAUAAUUUAAAUCUACCAAUCUAAAUUUACUCAGCAGCUAUUAAAAGUAUAGGUUUGAUGAUAGGAAAACUUCUCGGAUACAGGAGAAGCCGAUGGCAGGAACACAAGCAUCCGGGACAUUCUCAACAGAAGCAGCCAACUCGAUCGACUUUCCAGUCAGCAAUGAUGACAACAGGAUGUGUAUGAAACAAGGCGAUCACUGUGACUUGCAAGACGAUACUAUAUACGCCGAGAUCUUUGCGAUACCCAUACGGAUACCAAGGUUAUCAAAGUUCUGACAACAGAUACGACACGAUGGAGGCCGGGGCGUCAUUGCAACUGGUACAAGCUUUCCUGUACAAUCCACGCAUCAUCUGCAACAUAUCUCCUACCAUCACAUUCAACGAGGGAUCAAUACGGAUAACUCAAAACUACUUUUGGCGAAACAACCUGAAGGAUCAUCAGCCGGGAGGCCAAUGCUGUUAAUUAUAAGUGAAUGCGAGGUGUUCUAUUAGAUAUCAUGUAUUGUGAGUA